GAUGAACGCUGGCGGCGUGCCUAAUACAUGCAAGUCGAGCGAACAGACGAGGAGCUUGCUCCUCUGACGUUAGCGGCGGACGGGUGAGUAACACGUGGAUAACCUACCUAUAAGACUGGUAUAACUUCGGGAAACCGGAGCUAAUACCGGAUAAUAUAUUGAACCGCAUGGUUCAAUAGUGAAAGACGGUUUUGCUGUCACUUAUAGAUGGAUCCGCGCCGCAUUAGCUAGUUGGUAAGGUAACGGCUUACCAAGGCAACGAUGCGUAGCCGACCUGAUAGGGUGAUCGGCCACACUGGAACUGAGCCGCGGUCCAGACGCCUACGGGAGGCAGCAGUAGGGAAUCUUCCGCAAUGGUCGAAAGCCUGACGGAGCAACGCCGCGUGAGUGAUGAAGGUCUUCGGAUCGUAAUACUCUGUUAUUAGGGAAGAACAAAUGUGUAAGUAACUAUGCACGUCUUGACGGUACCUAAUCAGAAAGCCACGGCUAACUACGUG
Molecule: ribosomal RNA, 497 nt
Filed under: uncultured bacterium
Lineage: Bacteria
Description: partial 16S ribosomal RNA
Rfam family: Bacterial small subunit ribosomal RNA
Source: RNAcentral